CAGUCGCCACGGUAAUACAGAGGGUGCGAGCGUUAAUCGGAUUUACUGGGCGUAAAGCGUGCGUAGGCGGCUAAUUGAGUCGGAUGUGAAAUCCCCGAGCUUAACUUGGGAAUUGCAUUCGAUACUGGUUAGCUAGAGUGUGGGAGAGGAUGGUAGAAUUCCAGGUGUAGCGGUGAAAUGCGUAGAGAUCUGGAGGAAUACCGAUGGCGAAGGCAGCCAUCUGGCCUAACACUGACGCUGAGGUACGAAAGCAUGGGGAGCAAACAGGAUUAGAUACCCCGGUAGUCCCUGUCUCUUAUAA
This 301-nucleotide ribosomal RNA is filed under the name uncultured bacterium. RNAcentral describes it as "partial 16S ribosomal RNA". It matches the Rfam family "Bacterial small subunit ribosomal RNA", at positions 509 to 809 of the family's 1533-position model. The record is from RNAcentral.